GCGCAAUGGGGGAAACCCUGACGCAGUGACGCCGCGUGAACGAUGAAGUCUUCGGGAUGUAAAGUUCUGUCAGGCGGGAAGAAUCUUUCCCCGAUGCAAAUCGGGGGAGAAUGACGGUACCGCCAAAGGAAGCACCGGCUAAUUCCGUGCCAGCAGCCGCGGUAACACGGAGGGUGCAAGCGUUGUUCGGAAUUACUAGGCGUAAAGAGCGUGUAGGUGGUUAGCUAAGUCGGAUGUGAAAAUCCCAAGCUUAACUUGGAACGUGCAUUCGAAACUGGUUAACUUGAGUGUAGGAGAGGAGAGCGGAAUUCCUAGUGUAGCGGUGAAAUGCGUAGAUAUUAGGAAGAACACCGGUGGCGAAGGCGGCUYUCUGGCCUAAAACUGACACUGAGACGCGAAAGCGUGGGUAGCAAACAGGAUUAGAUACCCUGGUAGUCCACGCCGUAAACGAUGGGCAUUAGGUGUAGGAGGUAUCCAAUCCUUCUGUGCCGAAGUAACGCAUUAAAUGCCCCG
Molecule: ribosomal RNA, 513 nt
Filed under: uncultured delta proteobacterium
Lineage: Bacteria; Deltaproteobacteria
Description: bacterial SSU rRNA
Rfam family: Bacterial small subunit ribosomal RNA
Source: RNAcentral